Molecule: ribosomal RNA, 479 nt
Filed under: uncultured bacterium
Lineage: Bacteria
Description: partial 16S ribosomal RNA
Rfam family: Bacterial small subunit ribosomal RNA
Source: RNAcentral
GAUGAACGCUAGCGGGAGGCCUAACACAUGCAAGCCGAGCGGUAUUGUUUCUUCGGAAAUGAGAGAGCGGCGUACGGGUGCGUAACACGUGUGCAACCUGCCUUUAUCUGGGGGAUAGCCUUUCGAAAGGAAGAUUAAUACUCCAUAAUAUAUUGAACGGCAUCGUUUAAUAUUGAAAGCUCCGGCGGAUAGAGAUGGGCACGCGCAAGAUUAGCUAGUUGGUGAGGUAACGGCUCACCAAGGCGAUGAUCUUUAGGGGGCCUGAGAGGGUGAUCCCCCACACUGGUACUGAGACACGGACCAGACUCCUACAGGAGGCAGCAGUGAGGAAUAUUGGUCAAUGGGUGCAAGCCUGAACCAGCCAUCCCGCGUGAAGGACGACUGCCCUAUGGGUUGUAAACUUCUUUUGUAUAGGGAUAAACCUACCCUCGAGAGGGUAGCUGAAGGUACUAUACGAAUAAGCACCGGCUAACUCCGUG